CGGACGGGUGAGUAACGCGUGAGAACCUACCUUUUGGAGAGGGACAACCAUUGGAAACGAUGGCUAAUACCCCAUAUUCUGAGAAGUAAAAGAUGAAAAUCGCCAAGAGAUGGGCUUGCGGCUGAUUAGCUUGUUGGUGAGGUAACGGCUUACCAAGGCGAUGAUCAGUAGCUGGUCUGAGAGGAUGAUCAGCCACACUGGGACUGAGACACGGCCCAGACUCCUACGGGAGGCAGCAGUGAGGAAUUUUCCGCAAUGGGCGAAAGCCUGACGGAGCAAUGCCGCGUGAAGGAUUAAGGCCUAUGGGUUGUAAACUUCUUUUCUCAGAGAAGAAGUUCUGACGGUAUCUGAGGAAUAAGCAUCGGCUAACUCUGUGCCAGCAGCCGCGGUAAGACAGAGGAUGCAAGCGUUAUCCGGAAUGAUUGGGCGUAAAGCGUCUGUAGGUGGCUUUAAAAGUCUCCUGUCAAAGAUCAGGGCUUAACCUUGAGCCGGCAGGAGAAACUUUAAGGCUAGAGUUUGGUAGGGGCAGAGGGAAUUCCCGGUGGAGCGGUGAAAUGCGUAGAGAUCGGGAGGAACACCAAAGGCGAAAGCACUCUGCUGGGCCACAACUGACACUGAGAGACGAAAGCGAGGGGAGCAAAUGGGAUUAGAUACCCCAGUAGUC
Molecule: ribosomal RNA, 664 nt
Filed under: uncultured cyanobacterium
Lineage: Bacteria; Bacillati; Cyanobacteriota
Description: bacterial SSU rRNA
Rfam family: Bacterial small subunit ribosomal RNA
Source: RNAcentral